UGCGUAGGUGGUUAGGUGAGACCUGUGGGAAAGACCUGGGCUUAACCCAGGAAGGUCGCAGGUGACUGCCUGGCUAGAGGGCGGGAGAGGAGCGCGGAAUUCCCGGUGUAGCGGUGAAAUGCGUAGAGAUCGGGAGGAAGGCCGGUGGCGAAGGCGGCGCUCUGGAACGUUCCUGACACUGAGGCACGAAAGCGUGGGAGCAAACAGGAUUAGAUACCCUGGUAGUCCACGCCCUAAACGAUGGGUACUAAGUGUCGGCGGGUUACCGCCGGUGCCGCACCUAACGGAGUAAGUACCCCGCCUGGGGAGUACGGCCGCAAGGUUGAA
Molecule: ribosomal RNA, 327 nt
Filed under: uncultured bacterium
Lineage: Bacteria
Description: bacterial SSU rRNA
Rfam family: Bacterial small subunit ribosomal RNA
Source: RNAcentral